This 442-nucleotide ribosomal RNA is filed under the name Bacillus sp. F67. RNAcentral's name for it is "bacterial SSU rRNA". It matches the Rfam family "Bacterial small subunit ribosomal RNA", at positions 117 to 545 of the family's 1533-position model. Lineage: Bacteria; Bacillati; Bacillota; Bacilli; Caryophanales; Bacillaceae. The record is from RNAcentral.
GUGGGUAACCUGCCUGUGAGACUGGGAUAACUCCGGGAAACCGGAGCUAAUACCGGAUAGUUCCUUGAACCGCAUGGUUCAAGGAUGAAAGACGGUUUCGGCUGUCACUUACAGAUGGACCCGCGGCGCAUUAGCUAGUUGGUGGGGUAAUGGCUCACCAAGGCGACGAUGCGUAGCCGACCUGAGAGGGUGAUCGGCCACACUGGGACUGAGACACGGCCCAGACUCCUACGGGAGGCAGCAGUAGGGAAUCUUCCGCAAUGGACGAAAGUCUGACGGAGCAACGCCGCGUGAGUGAUGAAGGUUUUCGGAUCGUAAAGCUCUGUUGUUAGGGAAGAACAAGUGCGAGAGUAACUGCUCGCACCUUGACGGUACCUAACCAGAAAGCCACGGCUAACUACGUGCCAGCAGCCGCGGUAAUACGUAGGUGGCAAGCGUUGUC